CUUGGCGGCCUUAGCGCGGUGGUCCCACCUGACCCCAUGCCGAACUCAGAAGUGAAACGCCGUAGCGCCGAUGGUAGUGUGGGGUCUCCCCAUGCGAGAGUAGGGAACUGCCAGGC
Molecule: ribosomal RNA, 116 nt
Filed under: Escherichia coli
Lineage: Bacteria; Pseudomonadati; Pseudomonadota; Gammaproteobacteria; Enterobacterales; Enterobacteriaceae
Also listed under: 9 other names
Source: RNAcentral